This 253-nucleotide ribosomal RNA is filed under the name uncultured bacterium. Its description in RNAcentral is "partial 16S ribosomal RNA". It matches the Rfam family "Bacterial small subunit ribosomal RNA", at positions 524 to 776 of the family's 1533-position model. The record is from RNAcentral.
UACGUAGGGGGCUAGCGUUGUCCGGAUUUAUUGGGCGUAAAGAGCGUGUAGGCGGCCAGGUAGGUCUGGUGUGAAAACUCGAGGCUUGACCUCGAGAUGUCAUCGGAAACCAUCUGGCUAGAGUCCGGAAGAGGAGAGUGGAAUUCCUGGUGUAGCGGUGAAAUGCGCAGAUAUCAGGAAGAACACCAAUGGCGAAAGCAGCUCUCUGGGACGGUACUGACGCUGAGACGCGAAAGCGUGGGGAGCGAACAGG